Molecule: ribosomal RNA, 117 nt
Filed under: Aquificota bacterium
Lineage: Bacteria; Pseudomonadati; Aquificota
Source: RNAcentral
UCUGGCGGUCAUAGCGGGGGGGAAACACCCGUACCCAUUCCGAACACGGAAGUUAAGCCCCCCAGCGCCGAUGAUACUGCCACCGCGAGGUGGUGGGAAAGUAGGACGCUGCCAGGA